This 400-nucleotide ribosomal RNA is filed under the name uncultured Glomeromycotina. RNAcentral's name for it is "eukaryotic LSU rRNA". The record is from RNAcentral. Lineage: Eukaryota; Fungi; Glomeromycota.
GAAAAGAACUUUGAAAAGAGAGUUAAAUAGUACGUGAAAUUGUUGAAAGGGAAACGAUUGAAGUCAGUCGUACCGACGAGAAAUCAGCUCUUUGAGUGUUUACUUGUGGGCGUGCUUGAGUCUUUAACGGGCCUCGCUGUUUGCAUGUUUGCGCUUUUUGGGUGUUCUUUUUCGUAUGGUUGGCCAACGUCAGUUUCGAUCACCAUAAAAUGAUCAGGGGAAUGUGGCUUCGAUUUCGAUUGAAGUGUUAUAGACUUUGGUAGAUGUGGUGAUCGAAACUGAGGAUUGCAACGAAUACCCUUUGGGCUAUCCGUCUGUCCUCUGAAAGUUGCCUAGGUGCCGAAAGCUUGCUUACGGUUAUCCAAGUUGACUGCCAAUAGGUUAGAACGUGAUUACAUUC